This 207-nucleotide long non-coding RNA is filed under the name Homo sapiens (human). RNAcentral's name for it is "HSALNT0161418". Lineage: Eukaryota; Metazoa; Chordata; Mammalia; Primates; Hominidae. The record is from RNAcentral.
UAAAACAGUUUUGAGAAGUGUGAUGUUUCAUUGGCUGAGGAUUAACCAGAAGGAAGGAAAGGAAGGAAAAGAAAGUGGAGAAGGAAAAUGAGAAGAAAGAGGAGGAGAGGAUGCUGGAAAGAAAGAGGAGGAGGAGAGCAGACAGAAGAGAAAUAUUAUGAUAUCUCGGGAGCUGCUCAUUAUACUUCUAGCCCCUGGCUAUACAAC